This 328-nucleotide ribosomal RNA is filed under the name uncultured eukaryote. RNAcentral's name for it is "partial 18S ribosomal RNA". It matches the Rfam family "Eukaryotic small subunit ribosomal RNA", at positions 1470 to 1796 of the family's 1831-position model. The record is from RNAcentral.
CCCUUAGAUGUUCUGGGCUGCACGCGCGCUACACUGAAGCGUUCAACGAGUAUUCACCUUGCCCGGGAGGGUUGGGUAAUCUUUUCAAAACGCUUCGUGAUGGGGAUAGAUUAUUGCAAUUAUUAAUCUUCAACGAGGAAUUCCUAGUAAGUGCGGGUCAUCAGCUCGCGUUGAUUACGUCCCUGCCCUUUGUACACACCGCCCGUCGCUGCCCGGAACUGAGCCGUUUCGAGAAGACUGAGGAUUGCUGACUUGAGGCCUUCACGGGCUUCUAGUCGGUGAAAAUCAAUUUAAUCGCAGCGGCUUCAACCGGGCAAAAGUCGUAACA